This 492-nucleotide ribosomal RNA is filed under the name uncultured bacterium. Its description in RNAcentral is "partial 16S ribosomal RNA". It matches the Rfam family "Bacterial small subunit ribosomal RNA", at positions 29 to 507 of the family's 1533-position model. The record is from RNAcentral.
AGUGAACGCUGGCGGUAGGCCUAACACAUGCAAGUCGAACGGCAGCACAGUAAGAGCUUGCUCUUACGGGUGGCGAGUGGCGGACGGGUGAGGUAUACAUCGGAAUCUACUUUUUCGUGGGGGAUAACGUAGGGAAACUUACGCUAAUACCGCAUACGACCUAUGGGUGAAAGCAGGGGAUCUUCGGACCUUGCGCGAUUGAAUGAGCCGAUGUCGGACUAGCUAGUUGGCGGGGUAAAGGCCCACCAAGGCGACGAUCCGUAGCUGGUCUGAGAGGAUGAUCAGCCACACUGGGACUGAGACACGGUCCAGGCGCCUACGAGAGGCAGCAGUGGGGAAUAUUGGGCAAUGGGCGCAAGCCUGAUCCAGCCAUACCGCGUGGGUGAAGAAGGCCUUCGGGUUGUAAAGCCCUUUUGUUGGGAAAGAAAAGCAGCAGGUUAAUACCCCGCUGUUCUGACGGUACCCAGAGAAUAAGCACCGGCUAACUUCGUG